Molecule: non-coding RNA, 594 nt
Organism: Paramuricea clavata
Lineage: Eukaryota; Metazoa; Cnidaria; Anthozoa; Malacalcyonacea; Plexauridae
Source: the annotation of a GenBank genome assembly
AACAAAGCCUCUGAUUGGCCCCUGUAAAAGAAGCCAUUCAAAUGCGUUGUUUACAAAUAGUUUGUGAAUAUGAUUAUCAACUUUUGAACUUCGCAACAAACUUUGGAACGAAGUUUGCAACAUGAAAUCAACAGAAAAAGAAAUGAAAUCAACAGAAAAAGUAUAAUAAAGACGUACAAAGGAUCAGUUGCAUGAUACUCUCUUUUUAAGUUUCACCCUGAAAUUACUGUAAAUAGUUAAAGAUGCGGUGCAGUCCAUUCUGCGCAGGCAUACUGUACAUUUGAGCCUCGAGCCUGUAGGGUCUGGCAAAGCCUGAUUUUGCUAUGAUCACUUAUUUUAAAUUAAUGUUGAUCGAAGCAAGGAAAUAUAAUAUAUAUGUACAUGUCAAAACUUCAUUUAUAAAGUUCAUAAUUUAGAAAAUGUAAACAAAGUAGACACAUGCAAAUGGACUGUAUCACAACUUCAAAAUAUGUUUAUGCAAAAUAUGUUUGUGCCAUAUAAUCCCUAGCGGUUACCCCAUCACGUUCUGCUGCAUCAAAAUGCUCCUCUUCAUCUUCCAGCUCAACAAGAUCACCUUCAUCUUCUUCAGGUUCA